Long non-coding RNA from Anolis carolinensis (green anole), 3877 nucleotides. RefSeq lists it as uncharacterized. The record is from RefSeq and is a predicted model, not a curated record. Lineage: Eukaryota; Metazoa; Chordata; Lepidosauria; Squamata; Anolidae. The transcript is spliced from 3 exons.
AAUUAAUCGAGACUCAAGCAACUGGCAUAAAUCUAAGACGUCGUUCUUUAAAUAGAACACUGAAACCGUGUUAAGUUUGUCUUUAAUUGUCUUUAUUUGUUUUCAAUUUCUGUAUUUCAGUAUGAAUAUCAAAAGUGACUUGAGAACAUACUUCUGGUGUGAGAGAAUUGGCUGUCUACAGAGAAGUUGCCCAGGGGACAUCUGGAUAUGUUACCAUUCUGCUGGGAGGCUUCUCUGAUGUCCCCACAAGCUAAAUCCGAAAGACGGAAGCUCACCCCACCUCGUGGAUUUGAACCAGCAACCUUCAGGUUGGCAGAUGUAACCUACUGCUGCUCAGCUAUAUUCUAUCUCAAUUGGAGAAUGGACAAAUCUGCCCAAGGAAGACCAAGAAAUCUCCAAGUUAAAGACAAUAGUAAGUCAAUGACCUAGGCUACAUCUCUCUUGCAAAAUCAUAGUGCAAAGAUUUUCCAACAAUUGCAGAAAUAUGCAAAGUAUUACUAAUUCCAUCCAUAUGACAUAAACGAAGGAUGGGAAUCACACAGUCAUCCUGAAGCUUUGAACUGCAACUCCCAGCAUCCACAACCAUCAGAGUCAAUGGUGAGGAAAGGUGGAUGCUGCAAUUCAACUAUAACUGGAGGAUUGCAUAGACACUAUCUUUUGGACUACUGUUCCCAGAAUUCCCCAGCAACAUGGACAAUGAGUGUAAUGUUUGAGUAAAUUCUUGGAGUUUUGAUUUAGAAAUUUUCCUGAGCCCUGAAUUGGGUGUAAGACCAGUAAAAAUGGGCACUUAAAAGAGACUUAAGAUGUGCUUUAUGUUUAGAGCCUUUUUAAAAAAAAAUUGCUUGUUCUAUCACAUUAUAAGUUCAAAAGGGUGACUGUGUGACAAGAUCAUAUAGCCGAGUCUCCUUUUUAUUUUUAAAGAUAUACUUGUGUUUUAAGUGGCAAUUAUAAACAGUUCACAUGGGUGUAUUUGUAAUGAAGGUAGGGUUUUUAUGCCACUUCCAUAGUAGUUGCACACAAUUGUGUGCUGGAUUCAAGGUGCUGCAGCUGAGAAAAUGUUGGUUUGGGUUGGAUGGUGAACUGUUCUGGUUUCAUUUUGCAGUUAUGUACCAAAACAAGACCAGUAGCUGAAAAAAAUUCUACCUCUACUGUUAUCAGACCACCAAAUUGUGAAUUAUUAUCUAUGGCUCCACUGAGAUAUGCAGCCAGCACACAUUGGAUUUUUCAUUGCCGGCUAGUAACCUUUCAUUAAUAUCCUUGGAAUAUUGCGCCACAACACCUAGGAUAACCCCACAAUUACCAUAGUCCCUUAACAAUGCCCCCAAACACCUAACAAUAGAACCAAACCAGAGGUCACAGAAAUUGCCCAACAUCCACCUUUAUCCUCCUCCUGGGAAUCCAUUCAGAUUGGCUAACGCCCAUUGCUAUUCUGUUUCAACAGAAUGGACCAUUGUCCAUCCCCCGCACCUAGGCUGGGGAAACGUCUGUCAUUAGCAUCCAUUACCUCAAAUCUACUCACAUUUUUUCCUUUACACACCCCAUGAGAGGUGGAACUAGCAAAGGUCACAAAACCUCAAACUGAGCAAUGACAAUUUAUUAAAUUUCCCUCCAAACCCAGAGACCAAUUGACAAUAUUGACAGACAGCAUAUCCCGACCAAUCAGCUUGCAGAGCCUAGGCUGCUACAGUCUGGACCAAACAGUACUCAGGGCAGCAGAUGUCUUUUGUUUCAAAUUGCUGUCAAAAUGCUAUAAAUAUUUCUUCAUGUUCGCAUUAGUAUGUUAGUUCUUUGGAGGGCUAUCUCCGCUGACAUCCUCUCUAACCAUUGAGAAAAAAAGCCUCUGAUUUUGCAUUCAGCCCAUCUGUAUCUUAUCUGGUCCUUUGGAAGCUUACCGUGUUUCCCCGAAAAUAAGACAGUGUCUUAUAUUAAUUUUUGCUCCUAAAGAUGUGCUAGGUCUUAUUUUCAGGGGAUGUCUUAUUUUUACAUGAAGAAGAAUUCACAUUUAUUGUUGAACAAGAAAUGAACAUUUAUUAUAUACUGUACAGUAGUUGUCAUCACAAACCAACAUAACCAGACAAACUGUGAAUGCUAUCAAAAAUUUCCUGUUACUACCAUUAUUUUCAUGUACAACUGGUAUGGAUAUUUACCAAUCCUGCAUGCUCUGGUGUUUUGUUUGGCAGGCACUGGAGAUGCUUCCGAACAACCUUUGCUAGGUCUUACUUUCAGGGGAGGCCUUAUAUUUAGCAAUUCAGCAAAACUUCUACUAGGUCUUAUUUUUCGGGGAUGUCUUAUUUUCGGGGAAACAGGGUAGCACUCCAAGUCCUGGUCCCACAGUUUUAGUUGAGCUGAAAUCAGAUAACAGAUCAUGCAUAUCCUUCAAGACAUUUCGACCAGGAACAUCGCAAAUGCAACACUGAUCACUUUUCAAUCUGCUUUUAACCCCAUGCGAUAAGUGAAGGGAGGGAGGCAGAUGCUUUUAGUAGCUAUGCUCAUACAAACAUUUAAACAUUGAAGUCCUUUCCAUCAGCUUGCUUCUAUUAUUGAAAAAAAAAUCUACUAUGCUUUUGUAAGGGGAGCCCCGGUGGCGAAGUGCGUUAAAGCACUGAGCUGCUGAACUUGCAGACUGAAAGGUAGGUCCCAGGUUCAAACCCCGGGAGCGGCGUGAAGGGCCGCUGUUAACUCCAGCUUCUGCCAACCUAGCAGUUCGAAAACUGCCAAUGUGAGUAGAUCAAUAGGUACCGCUCCGGCGGGAAGGUAAGGGCGCUCCAUGCAGUCAUGCCAGCCACAUGACCUUGGAGGUGUCUACGGACAACGCCGGCUCUUCGGCUUAGAAAUGGAGAUGAGCACCAACCCCCAGAGUCAGACAUGACUGGACUUAACGUCAGGGGAAACCUUUACCUUUACCUAUGCUUUUGUAAAUUGGACAAAAACAAUGAAGGCAGAGGUUGCAACCCUAUGUUCUGUCUAUUUAUGUACCAGACUGGUCCUUCAGUUCUUCCCUCUUUUUUGCUUCCUUGUUCCUGUUUUCACAGCAGUGUCCCAUUUUCCCUUUGCUCUUGGUCCACUGUGACUUGCCAUUUCCAUCUCCAAAAGGAGCAUGUGGAUCUGAGUGUCUGACUUGACAGUACUGAUUCAUGGAACAAAAACCUUUCCAGCCAGGCUGCUGGAGGCAUUAUAUGCAUUUGACACAAGGUCACACUUUUGUUUUUUCAUUUAAUUCAUAAUACUUCCAAAUACACAGCCAUUAACUUAGCCUGCAAUCACAACACUAUCUAUAUUUGUACAGUUCAAUGAUAGGGAAUCAGUUCACCACAUUUACCAUUUGUUAUGGACCACAAGUUCCUGUAUGUUGUUUGAACUUCUGGUCCAAUGCAAAGUAUAGGAUCAAUGUAGACAAACCCAAAAAGUAGUAAAAGGAAGUAAAGUGAGAUAUUGAAUUUACAUAAAUCUAAGAUGUGCAAUGAUAUGGGUGGUUGCUUGUUGUGUGCCUUCAAGUCAUUUUUCAUUUAUGAUAACUUCAUGCUGAACCUGUCACAAGGUUUUUUGGCAAGACAGGGUUUACCUUUGCUUUCCUCUGAGGCAGAGAGAGUGGGACUUGCUCAUGAUGACUCAGGGUGAAUCUACACUGCCCUAUAUCCCAGAAUCUGAUCCCAGAGUGUUUGCUUUGAAUGAAUCUAAAGGUAAAGGUUUCCCCUGAUAUUAAGUCCAGUCAUGUCUGACUCUGGGGGUUGGUGCUCAUCUCCAUUUCUAAGCCGAAGAGCCGGCGUUGUCCGUAGACACCUCCAAGGUCAUGUGGCCGGCAUGACUGCAUGGAGUGCCGUUACCUUCCCGCCAGAUCUACUCACAUUGGCCUGUUUUCGAACUGCUAGGUUGGCAG